This 85-nucleotide non-coding RNA is filed under the name Chloroflexota bacterium. RNAcentral describes it as "Chloroflexi bacterium c-di-GMP-II sequence". It matches the Rfam family "Cyclic di-GMP-II riboswitch aptamer". The record is from RNAcentral. Lineage: Bacteria; Bacillati; Chloroflexota.
GGUUUAUUGGGAGGCAAUGAAGCACCAGCUACAAUAUGGUCACUUGGCGGGUGUCGAGCUAGUAGUGAAACCGACCCAAAAAUGG